GUCCGGAUUUACUGGGUGUAAAGGGUGCGUAGGCGGCUUUGCAAGUCAGAUGUGAAAUCUAUGGGCUCAACCCAUAGCCUGCAUUUGAAACUGCAGAGCUUGAGUGAAGUAGAGGCAGGCGGAAUUCCCCGUGUAGCGGUGAAAUGCGUAGAGAUGGGGAGGAACACCAGUGGCGAAGGCGGCCUGCUGGGCUUUAACUGACGCUGAGGCACGAAAGCGUGGGU
RNAcentral lists this ribosomal RNA (224 nucleotides) under uncultured bacterium. RNAcentral describes it as "partial 16S ribosomal RNA". It matches the Rfam family "Bacterial small subunit ribosomal RNA", at positions 543 to 766 of the family's 1533-position model. The record is from RNAcentral.